Antechinus flavipes (yellow-footed antechinus) is the source of this 2643-nucleotide long non-coding RNA. RefSeq lists it as uncharacterized. NCBI's taxonomy places the organism in Eukaryota, Metazoa, Chordata, Mammalia, Dasyuromorphia, Dasyuridae. The transcript is spliced from 2 exons. The record is from RefSeq and is a predicted model, not a curated record.
UCUGCUCCCCCCAACCACAGUCCCCCUUUCUCUCUCUCUCUUUCUCUCUGUCCCCUGCCCGCCCUUGUUACCCUUAAAAAACAAAAACAAACAAACAAACAAAGAAACAAAAAAAACUUAAAGAACAAACAAACCCCCAAUAAAUAAAUAAAAUGUUAAAAAAUUGAAUGGGCCAAGGGUGUGGCUCUAUGUGGCUGUCAUCAGAUUUGUGCCCUGAGGAGAGCUUUGGGAAAAAGGUGGACACCUCCCUUUCCCCUUCUGAAAGGAAGUGCUCCUGUCUCUCUCUCCCAUUUGGUCCUGGGACUUGCAACAGAAAGACUUUGAGCAAUAGGGAUCUGACUGCGUGGCUGCUUUUGGCCUGUGGAAAGGGCAGUCUGGGAAAAUCUUUAGCCUUGGGGCCAAACUUGUGGGGUCCCCUGGCUUUUUCAACACCCCUAGAAACCACUAGGCCUCCUAGAUAGCUUCCUGGGACCCAAAUAGAAAGGAAACAGGUUUGUCUGAGUGGGCCAAGCUGGGUCCCUUUCAGCGUAGCUUUUGGAAAAAUCUCUGGGACCUGGAACCGGGUUCAAAACUCCCUUUCUUCCACUCCCCCAAACACACUCCCUCUGUCUCUCUGUCUCUGUCUCCCUCCCUCCCUCCCUCCUGGAACCUUAUUACGUUACUCUCUAUUCAUCCUUCUGGUCAUUUCUUUCUUUCUUUCUUUCUUUCUUUUUCUUUUUCUUUUUCUUUUUUUUUCAAUAUAUGUAACUUUUUAUUGACAGAACAUAUGCCAGGGUAGUUUUUUACAACAUUAUCCCUUGCACUGGCUUCUAUGAACAUGCUUCUUCUUCUUCUUCUUCUUCUUUUUUUUUUAAAUAACUUUUUAUUGAUAGAACGCAUGCCAGGGUAAUUUUUUACAGCAUUAUCCCUUGCAUUCACUUCUGUUCCGAUUUUUCCCCUCCUUCCCUCCCUCCCUCCCUCCACCUCUUCCCCCAGAUACAAGCAGUCCUUUACAUGUUGAAUGGGUUGCAGUAUAUCCUAGAUACAACAUAUGUGUGCAGAAACCGAACGGUUUUCUUGUUGCACAGGGAGAAUUGAAUUCAGAAGGUAUAAAUAACCCGGGAAGAAAAACAAAAAAUGCAAGCAGUUUAUAUUCAUUUCCCAGUGUUAUGAACAUGCUUCUUAAGCAGUUAUUCACAAUGUGGGGGCUCUGAACUUUUGAAAAUAAGGAACACAAUGAUACUAUGUUACUAAAAGUUUUCUCUUGGUCUUUCGUGGGCAUAGGGGAAUUUUCCUCAUUUUAAAAAUUUUUUUCUUUUUCCCCAGCAGGACCUGGUGCCAUGGAUGCCCCAAGCCUACUUUGCUAUAAUAGUGUUUGCCUUUAAAGACAGUAACUGCUAUGGCAAGAUCCAAAAUGAAAAAGAUGAAUGAACAAUCCACAAAGAUGAAAGCAAAGCCAUUGCUGUGGGUUUGAUUUGAUAUUGAAGAAGAAGGAAGAUCUCCACAAAAAGAAUGCAUAUUAACAAAAAUAUAAAUUGCCCCACAAACACACACACACACACACACACACACACACACACACACACACACAAAUGGAAUACUUACAGAAUCCCUAUUUAGCCAAGAAAAAUUGGAAGAAGACAUUGAUGAGUUUCCCCAGACAAAACUGAAACAAAAUUCAAAUAUUCUAGGAAAGAAAACUAUGAGCUGCUUUAAAACUAACAAAGAAAUAAAAACUUUUGACUUCCAAGAUUCUUUCCCUUAUGGCCACUUCCAGUUCCAGUUAAGAAACCAUAUGAUUCAUUCAUUUUUGGUGGAAGCAUAAUGAAUUCAAACAGUAUCCAAAAAAAAAAAAAAAAAAAAAAAAAAAAAAAAAAAAAAAAAAGAGCAGUUAUGGAGAAGGGAGUAGUCUUAGCAUUUACUAACUAGAUUUCCAAUGUAUUUAAGAAAUUGAAACCCCCAAAGUAGUGCUUGGUCUGUGGAACAGUUUAGGUAAGGAAUAUGAAGGAGAAAGUGUUUGAUAAAGACUAAGCUCCAAGCUCCAAUGCCAGGCAAUCGGUAUUGGACUAACCCCUCUCCUUCACCCCCCCCCCCCCCCCAAUAAACAACAACAAACAACAAACGACAACGACAACGACAACAACAACAACAACAACUUCCUGGAACACUGGAAAGCAGGGUGGCAGAAACUAGACCCAGACCACAUUUCACUCUGUCUUUAUACCGAGAUCAGAUCCAAAAAGGGUUACCUGAAUUAGGGAUUCAGGGUCAUAGCCAAAGCCAAGGAAGGGGAUUUUGAGAAAGGGACCUGUCGGAACCAAGAGACUAAGGGAAGACUGAUCAAAGAAGAGAGGAAUUUGGGAGGGGAAAAUUGACCCAGAACAGAUCAUUUUGAUUUCAUGACAGCGAACGGUUUUUGCAUGAGGCGCAUGCAAUGGAACCAACUCGAGAAGAAAAGGAAGAAACCUUGUAUCUCUUGUACUUACUUAGCCCCCUCCCCCCUCUCUCCCAAUAACGUGGGAAAUGUUUUAUUGGGAUUUCUUAUAUAUAAUGAGUUUCUUAGGGCUUUCUUGCCAUCUGAAUGGUACGGAAUGGGGUGGAGUGAUAAGAAACAGGAGUCAGGGUGAGGAUUUAGAAUUAAAAAUUAAAAAGAGAGGCAAACGA